GUGCUCAUGUUGGCAGCACAUACACUAACACUGGAAAGGAUACAGAGAAGAUUAGCACGGCCCCUGUGCAAGUACAACGUGCAAAUUCGUGAAGUGUUCCAUAUUUUU
This 108-nucleotide small nuclear RNA is filed under the name Echinops telfairi (small Madagascar hedgehog). The record is from RNAcentral. Lineage: Eukaryota; Metazoa; Chordata; Mammalia; Afrosoricida; Tenrecidae.